RNAcentral lists this ribosomal RNA (483 nucleotides) under uncultured bacterium. Its description in RNAcentral is "partial 16S ribosomal RNA". It matches the Rfam family "Bacterial small subunit ribosomal RNA", at positions 30 to 506 of the family's 1533-position model. The record is from RNAcentral.
AUUGAACGCUGGCGGCAGGCCUAACACAUGCAAGUCGAGCGGAUGAAGGGAGCUUGCUCCUGGAUUCAGCGGCGGACGGGUGAGUAAUGCCUAGGAAUCUGCCUGGUAGUGGGGGAUAACGUCCGGAAACGGGCGCUAAUACCGCAUACGUCCUGAGGGAGAAAGUGGGGGAUCUUCGGACCUCACGCUACCAGAUGAGCCUAGGUCGGAUUAGCUAGUUGGUGGGGUAAAGGCCUACCAAGGCGACGAUUCGUAACUGGUCUGAGAGGAUGAUCAGUCACAAUGGAACUGAGACACGGUCCAGACUCCUACGGGAGGCAGCAGUGGGGAAUAUUGGACAAUGGGCGAAAGCCUGAUCCAGCCAUGCCGCGUGUGUGAAGAAGGUCUUCGGAUUGUAAAGCACUUUAAGUUGGGAGGAAGGGCAGUAAGUUAAUACCUUGCUGUUUUGACGUUACCAACAGAAUAAGCACCGGCUAACUUCGU